This 703-nucleotide long non-coding RNA is filed under the name Zonotrichia albicollis (white-throated sparrow). Its description in RNAcentral is "lncRNA (ENSZALG00000009336.1)". The record is from RNAcentral. Lineage: Eukaryota; Metazoa; Chordata; Aves; Passeriformes; Passerellidae.
CUUUUUAAAUUUUUUUUUCCUUUAAAAGUUUUAAUCCACCUUGUAACACCACCCAAAAAGAAGCGAAAUUAAGCUGCAGUGUGUACUAGGAGAGAAAACCUACUUUAUUUAUCACCCAGCCCUACUUCACCAUGCACUGACCUAAUUACAGCCCACACCAGGCUGGGUAGGAGGAGCAGCAGAAGGAGCGCUUCUGCCACCUAGUGAUCCCUGUCAAUCCCUUUGUGGAAUUGGCGUUUUCCUGUCCCCAGCGCUCGACAGCAAGCGACCUUCCCCAGCCAGCCUGCCUGGAUGCCGGGUUUAUCUGCACACCGCUCUCUUCUCCUCUUUUACGGCUCCAAAACAUCGCUCACGGAUGAAUUCUGACCUACGGCUGGCAACGCUCAGGAAGGCAGGACUGCACAUGAAAUCAAGCAGUAAGACUUACAUCCUGCUAAGACAACCUCCUGCACCUUCUGGAUGCAGACUGAUGUAGGAUAUUAACUACAUCCUGAAACCCAUGGAAUUUGUCAGACUGAGUGGUGGAUUAUAACUGAAGUAAAGAAUGUGUCCAAGAAGUAUUUCUGUCUCAUGUUUUUAGUGGCAUUCAGUUUCUGGUUGUAACAUGAACAUUCUCAAAAAGCUUCCUUGCAUCUGCAGUCCAUCUUUGUAAUAUGUGGGGUACAUUUUGGUGGGGUGAAACAGCAUGAUAAGUGAAGGCUUG